UCCCUGGUAGUAUAUCGGUUAGUACACGCGCCUGUCAUUUGGCGUAGCGGUUAACGCCCGCGCGAAAGCGGGGUUCGACUCCCCGCCAGGGAG
Molecule: non-coding RNA, 93 nt
Organism: Laetiporus sulphureus 93-53
Lineage: Eukaryota; Fungi; Basidiomycota; Agaricomycetes; Polyporales; Laetiporaceae
Source: the annotation of a RefSeq genome assembly